CAGAGCCCAGCCACCAGGGUCUGCUCCAUGCCUGGUCCCUGGAGAGGCCCUCACCCUCUCUGCUUUCACCCAACCCGACUGACACGGAGUAGGAGGUGGGAAUCAUGCAGGCAGGGAGCUUAGGAAGCCUGGUUCAAGAUUGCUUUGAAUGGCAGGCCCCCUGCUGUGCUCCUGGGGAGAGAGCCUGAAACCUGGAUGCUCGGGAGCCCCUCAGAUCCGUCAUCUGUCCCCGACACCCCUGUGGUGAGCCUUGCCACUGGGCCCUGAGAAGCUCAGAGCAGUCGAGUCAGGGCAGUGGGACAUGACCCAGGUCAGAUGUGGCUUUUCCGUAAUUGUACACCAAUGAUCAAGAGAAAAUGAAGGAUUUUAAUAUCACACACCUACACUUGAUGGCAGGGAAAUAAUUAUUUCCUGCAGAAUGGGCUGCAAAUGUAACAAACCCCCUGACCUUCAGUCUGAAGAGAGAGAACUAUCAACCACACAGAAGCAAAGAUCCAGAGAAAUACUGAGGGAUGCUACCAGACACUCAACCAGGGCCACUCUCCGAGAUUCCAGCCAGCCACACAGCAAAGAUGCUGGCCGGGGACACUGCCCCAAACCACCAGACAGAACCCCAAAGAAACAGCUCCACACACAGUGGAAGAUACACCAGAGACUGUUAGAAGGACCAUCAGACAAAGCCAAAGAGACAGGUAGAUGAAACCAGAUAACCAGCCAGAGAGGUGGUCAGAGAACAGCGACACAAUCAAAGGACCCACCAGAAACACUGUAAAGGACUCAGCUAGACCCAGGCAGAUACACUGCCGAAGGACGAGCAAGGAGCACAGGCAGUGAAGCCGUCGGCGACAAAGCCAGAGAGCUAAGACACUGUCAGAAACAGUGCCAGAGAAACCGUCUGACACACAAGCAGAGAAAUACCAGAGAAACUGAUAGACGCAAACAGGCGUACACCCAGAAAAACAGCUUGAGAGAAGAGCCAGAGCCACAGCCAGAUGCUCAGUCAGGAAGUAUCCACACCACUCCAAACACUGCCAGAGACACUGUCAGACACACAGUCAGACACACUGCCAGAGACACCGUUAUAAAGACUGCCAGAGAAACAGCCAGACACACAGCCAGAAAAACUGACAGAGACGCAGUGCCAGAUAUACCCCGAGAAAGUGCCAGAGACUCAGCUCCAGACAGUGCAGACAUAGCAUAACAGAGACAAAUGUGGGUAUCAGCCUGAAGCAGCUGCGGAGAGGCUGGAGAGCAAUGAACUUCCUGGGGCUUCCUGUGGGAGAGGGCUCCUGCCUGCCUUUUGCUACCCUUGACCCUCUCCAGGAAACCAGGAAGAUCCUCCGCCUCAGUGCCAGGCCACUGCCCACCACAUGGGAGCAGGAACCAGGGCAUGGGCAGGCAGAAGAGCAGGCGGAGUGGCUGAGCUCCUGUCCCGGCUCCCUAAGGUGUUCCCAGUUUGCGGAGGAUUACGUGCCCUCUCAGCCCAGUAGCACACUUUCCAAAUAAGCCAUCAGACUCCUCCCAAGAUCCUGAAACUGAGGCUCAGAGAGCAGAAGCAGCUUGGCCAAAGUCAUACAACUGGUAGUUGGUAAAGGAGCUGGCCUUGAACUCAGGGAUAUCUUGAAAGCCACUGUUGCUUCUAUGGACUCUAGCCAUUCAAAAGACCCCUCACCUUCUAUAAGACCCCAGGAGAUCCUCAGGGUCCAACUGCUCCCUUGAAAACAGGUCCCAGAUAUAUCUGCCAAAGGUAUGAUUAGGUGCCUAAACACAUACCAUGAGAAAGGGAUUCCAUGUCUUCCAAUCCUGCCCAGAGAUGCAGAGACACCACCACCCAGGGAGAGAUAGCCAGAAACUAAAAUAAGAUGUUAGAGACAGGUGGUUGAUAGUGACAGAUACAGCCACACCAAGACAGGCUCAAAGGGAGGAAGACUGAGGGGAAGCCAGAGACAGAGAGGGACACAUUAGGCCAAAGAAUGAGAGAGAUAGCUGGAAAAGGAGACAAUAGGAGUAGAGGAGGGUACAGGCUGACAUGAAAAAACACCGACAGAUACACUCCAGUAUGCAGACAGACACAUAUAGACCCAUCUGACCUUCACAAGAAACAGACUGUGAAAGCAAGCAAGGCUCAGGCUGUGUGUGGUGUGCGUAUGUGUGUGUGCGUAUUGUGGGGGGAGCAUGCAGAGUCUGUAUAGCUACGCACAUUACACCAGCUGCUUCCAGCAAUUUCAUCUGAUUAAU
Molecule: long non-coding RNA, 2238 nt
Filed under: Homo sapiens (human)
Lineage: Eukaryota; Metazoa; Chordata; Mammalia; Primates; Hominidae
Description: HSALNT0351737
Source: RNAcentral